GUGGUGCACGGCGAUGAGGCUCGCCAGGUGGCUUCGGCCACCGAAGUGCCCGCUGCGGCUGAUAGCCUCUGCUCGACC
Molecule: non-coding RNA, 78 nt
Filed under: Thermomicrobium roseum
Lineage: Bacteria; Pseudomonadati; Thermomicrobiota; Thermomicrobia; Thermomicrobiales; Thermomicrobiaceae
Description: Fluoride sequence
Rfam family: Fluoride riboswitch aptamer (crcB RNA motif)
Source: RNAcentral